Molecule: long non-coding RNA, 1357 nt
Organism: Ostrea edulis (European flat oyster)
Lineage: Eukaryota; Metazoa; Mollusca; Bivalvia; Ostreida; Ostreidae
Exons: 3
Source: RefSeq, a predicted model, not a curated record
UUUUAAGUAUCAAUAUACUUAGUGUAUCUAAUUACUUAGGUAAUGGUAUUAUGAUUUCAUUUUAAUUUCAUCUCUUUACAGGAUUUCAUUGUGAGAUGCAUGUUUAUUUGCAAGUUAUUGGAAUUGAUUAUAAUAUACCUGUUACUGAUGGCACAAACAAUCCUAACAAAAUCUCCAAUGUACGGAACCUGGCUCGUUGGCAGGAUUUUCCCAAGUUGACAUCUGCCUGUCUCCAUGAGCCAUAAAGGAUGGCAUCUGUGCCUUGAUACCUAGUUCCUCCAAGUAAUCCAAGGAGUCUCUGAAACCACGGUCCACCACAAAUACAUCAUCCUCGCAAACCCAUCCCUGUAUGUCAUCGAUAUUUCUUUUCAAAAUGUGGUUGAGUAUGGAGGCAUCAUUGUUUUUUGCAAUAUAAGGGCCUAAUACAGAAACAAAGUAGCCUGUCGAUGACACAAUGACCAUAGGUUUCACAAGUGGCCUGCCUUUGUGGAGACUGUAGGAUUGACGUUGAAAUCUAAAAUUACCACUUUUGUUGAUGUAGAUGUACGUCCCAUCCAAUAUAAGUAUGGCUUGCUGAGUUGUGUCAUCACCAAAAAGUGUCUGGGCAAGGGGUCGCGUAUGCUUAUUGAUUAUCUCCUCUCGCGUUAUGUGACCAAAUCCAAGGUUUUCUGUGACAAAACCUCCAGUCAUCAAUAUAUUGCGGACAGCUCGCACACUUCUUUGUAUACUGGAUUUGGAAAUAUUAAACAAUGUGGACAAAAUCUUGUUUGACUCCCCUCCUCUCAAUUUUAGCAAAAAGAUUGCAAGGCUGGUUCUGGUAGUUCUAGCAGGAGUUAUUUUGAUUUUCCCCUCGAUAAACAGCAUCAUGUCAUUGAAAGAAGCUUUUGAUAUCCCCAGGAGAUCUACAUAUUCAGUGUCUGUGUUUUGGGCAGCAACGAGCUCCAGCAGGAAUUAUGACUUCUUUGGUGAUAAAGAUUCAAUGACGAAAUCCCACUGGAACCACAACUAGCUUUGGUCCUGGCCUUUUGCAGAUGCAACAUGCAGCAUGUCCUCUUGAUGUGCAAGGAAAAGGAAGAGUUACUGAUGGUGGACUGAACUGAGGUGUUAAAGUUGUAGAUGAUGUUGAUGGUGCGGAUUCACCUUGACAAUCUGUCGUGCUCGCCAUGCUAUGACCUUUGCGUUUUAUGUGACGUGCACACAUGCACCUACAUCUGUUGCAUAGGAAGUCAUCGUCACCUGGUGUUCUCCCAGAUAGUUUGGAGAUAACGACUCUGUAUUUUCUUGCAAUGCUGUAUCUGUCUUUCUGUCGUACCACGCGUGGACAAUUACAACAGUUGUAAGAUUUCUUACCAGCCAU